GACGAACUUUGGCGGCGUGCUUAACACAUGCAAGUCGAACGGAAAGGCCCUGCUUUUGUGGGGUGCUCGAGUGGCGAACGGGUGAGUAACACGUGAGUAACCUGCCCUUGACUUUGGGAUAACUUCAGGAAACUGGGGCUAAUACCGGAUAGGAGCUCCUGCUGCAUGGUGGGGGUUGGAAAGUUUCGGCGGUUGGGGAUGGACUCGCGGCUUAUCAGCUUGUUGGUGGGGUAGUGGCUUACCAAGGCUUUGACGGGUAGCCGGCCUGAGAGGGUGACCGGCCACAUUGGGACUGAGAUACGGCCCAGACUCCUACGGGAGGCAGCAGUGGGGAAUAUUGCACAAUGGGCGGAAGCCUGAUGCAGCAACGCCGCGUGCGGGAUGACGGCCUUCGGGUUGUAAACCGCUUUCGCCUGUGACGAAGCGUGAGUGACGGUAAUGGGUAAAGAAGCACCGGCUAACCACGUGCCAGCAGCCGCGGUGAUACGUAGGGUGCGAGCGUUGUCCGGAUUUAUUGGGCGUAAAGGGCUCGUAGGUGGUUGAUCGCGUCGGAAGUGUAAUCUUGGGGCUUAACCCUGAGCGUGCUUUCGAUACGGGUUGACUUGAGGAAGGUAGGGGAGAAUGGAAUUCCUGGUGGAGCGGUGGAAUGCGCAGAUAUCAGGAGGAACACCAGUGGCGAAGGCGGUUCUCUGGGCCUUUCCUGACGCUGAGGAGCGAAAGCGUGGGGAGCGAACAGGCUUAGAUACCCUGGUAGUCCACGCUGUAAACGGUGGGUACUAGGUGUGGGGUCCAUUCCACGGGUUCCGUGCCGUAGCUAACGCUUUAAGUACCCCGCCUGGGGAGUACGGCCGCAAGGCUAAAACUCAAAGGAAUUGACGGGGCCCCGCACAAGCGGCGGAGCAUGCGGAUUAAUUCGAUGCAACGCGUAGAACCUUACCUGGGUUUGACAUGGAUCGGGAGUGCUCAGAGAUGGGUGUGCCUCUUUUGGGGUCGGUUCACAGGUGGUGCAUGCCUGUCGUCAGCUCGUGUCGUGAGAUGUUGGGUUAAGUCCCGCAACGAGCGCAACCCUUGUUCACUGUUGCCAGCACGUUAUGGUGGGGACUCAGUGGAGACCGCCGGGGUCAACUCGGAGGAAGGUGGGGAUGACGUCAAGUCCUCAUGCCCCUUAAGUCCAGGGCUUCACGCAUGCUACAAUGGCUGGUACAGAGAGUGGCGAGCCUGUGAGGGUGAGCGAAUCUCGGAAAGCCGGUCUCAGUUCGGAUUGGGGUCUGCAACUCGACCUCAUGAAGUCGGAGUCGCUAGUAAUCGCAGAUCAGCAACGCUGCGGUGAAUACGUUCCCGGGGCU
This 1346-nucleotide ribosomal RNA is filed under the name uncultured bacterium. RNAcentral describes it as "bacterial SSU rRNA". It matches the Rfam family "Bacterial small subunit ribosomal RNA", at positions 28 to 1381 of the family's 1533-position model. The record is from RNAcentral.